Molecule: long non-coding RNA, 1127 nt
Filed under: Chlamydomonas reinhardtii
Lineage: Eukaryota; Viridiplantae; Chlorophyta; Chlorophyceae; Chlamydomonadales; Chlamydomonadaceae
Description: long non-coding RNA (CREI_LNC001467)
Source: RNAcentral
CUGCCGCUGCCCUCCAGCACACGCUCGCCACCAGGCCUGCACAAGGGCACAAACGCAUCUUUCAGAAAGAAGCAACCGAACGUGGCCUCCCCGCGGUCCGCAACCCUGAAACAGGCGAGGUGGUAACCGACCCUCCCAGCAUUCUAACCGCCCUGGAAGGCCACUUCCGCAAACUGUCAGCCCCCCCACGAGGGCCCCGCACAGGUGAAUAUCGCCUGUCGCCUGGCGCAAUGCGUGGGUACCCGUUCGAACUACCUAACGCUACGGAUGCCUUUACGCUUGAGCGUAACAGGCACCCGGAAGCACACUCCAUGCUUUCUAGCAUGGCAGACCCCGCCAACUUCGACCACUGUAUCGCCCACCUCUCUCGUAACAAAGCCACGGGCCCAGACAGCAUUCCGAACGAGCUGCUCCGCAUCUUGCCUCACGGCAUGAAGCGAGCCCUACACAACACACUGAAGAUCAUGUACGUCAAGUCCACAAUCCCGGAGUCCUGGGCCACUUCGGACACGGUCCUGCUCCCAAAACCUGGGGACGCUCUUGACAUCAAGAACAAGAGGCCCAUCGCUCUAGCCAACACUUGCUAUAAACUGUACACUUCUAUGCUCACCCUGGGCAUCGGCGAACUGGCAGGCCCACUCCAGCUGUUCAGCGAAUCACAGGAGGGCUUCCGGGCCUACUGCAACACGGAACGGCAGAUACUAAACCUUGUGCAUGUACUGGAGGACGCUGCCCUGUAUGGGAAAGACGUAUACGCAGUAUAUGUUGACUACAGCUCUGCGUUUAACACAAUCGAUCAGGACAGGCUACUCCAGAUUAUGUUCGAUCUGGGCCUGCCUGACGACCUGAUACGCGCAGUCCGCAACCUAUACGCGCAUGCCACCACCCGCAUUCGUACUGAACAUGGAUGCACAUCCGCCAUCCCAAUAGAACGUGGCACGGUGCAAGGUGACACCCUGUCACCUGUACUGUUUAUCUUGUUCAUGGAACCGCUUGUGCGGUGGCUCCACGCAGGUGGGCGGGGCUACCGCUACGGAUGCCUCAGCCCGGAAGACAAUGCACGGUACCACUGCAGCGCCGCCGCGUACGCUGACGACUUGGCGGCCCUGACCACAACGCUGGAAGAC